Molecule: long non-coding RNA, 1280 nt
Organism: Lutra lutra (Eurasian river otter)
Lineage: Eukaryota; Metazoa; Chordata; Mammalia; Carnivora; Mustelidae
Exons: 3
Source: RefSeq, a predicted model, not a curated record
GGGAAUAAAAAGGUUGUGACAGUAGCUUCAGGAUCACUCAGCAGCAAGAAUCAACAUUAAUAACUAUUCUCAGAGGCACAGAGGGAGGAAAAAACGUCAUUUACUUAACAUUCUUUAAUUCUUUGUGGUAUAACAAGACUAUGUCAAGAUUUAGGGUCGAAAAGCACGGUUCUUUUGCUCAUGAGAAAAGCCUUUCAUAAUCUACACAUUUUUCCUGACACUUGGAGUUCUGAGAUCUCGGGCCACCUUUAAAUGUGGUAUCCCCCUGCUGACAGCUCUCAAACAGCCUUCAGAGGAAAAAGAAAAUCCCAAGAUUACUUUACUCCAGAGACUCCAAACAGCCUGGGCCUUACUGCAUAAAGAUGUCUCUUUAUACAAGAGUUAGAUAGUGCUGAAGAAAGUAACUUUUGUAUGCCUAUAUUUUAACACAGGGUCAUGGAUAGCUCAUUAAGCAUUCUUCCUCUGGUUUGAUUACAUAAAGAGUUGGUUUUGUAAUAUAAUAGCACGGGAAGGUCAGUAUGGUUAUGAGAGAAACCUUAGAUGCUGUGACAAAUCCAAUAACUAUCAGGGUAUUUUGUUCAUAAAAGUAAAGCAUUUCUCAAAAUAUUUUGCUGAUUUGUUAAGGUACUGGGAGAUAGUAUGCUGGCUGCUGGGCUGACCUUCUCCGUCACACUAGACAGCGUCAAAGGAUCUGACAACUGUACAAGUUCAACUGGCUAGGCUGUCAACAGAUUUUCUUAGAAGAUACAGAUUUGUCUUUCAGAGUAAGGUGGAGACCAAAACAAGGAUAUUUUAAAGCUGAGUGGCACAGGUAUCAGCACUAAGGGGUGAGGGUGAAGACAAAUACCAGCGGGCUACCUACUCAGGCACCUAGCUUCAGGAGUUCGGUAGAAGCGGAGCAGACGCACUUUUCAGAGUCUUUAACACAGAGAGUGAUUCACAUCUCACAAGGCCAGGCGUCCUCGAAAGGAACAUCAGAGGUUUCCAGCUACCUGACGCUGUGGCGACAAAUAUAGAGCUGCACUGCCCUCCAGAGAGACAUCAGACUAAAGAGGCAGCCUAGGGAAAACUUAGCUGUUCAGAGAAGCCUCAGAGACGACUUGAGGGCAUCAAAGGAGCUCCAGAGAAACUGAGUAUUUUGGAGUCUAAUCAUAUUGUCAUCACUUAACUGAAACCUGAGGGGUGCCCACAGCUACUGUGAGAAAAAAUACACAUUUAUUUUGAACACUUUUCUUCUUGAGCUUUUAUUCUCCAUAGUUACAUAAACCACUUCUGUCUCA